GAACGGCAGCACGGGGGCAACCCUGGUGGCGAGUGGCGAACGGGUGAGUAAUACAUCGGAACGUGUCCUGUAGUGGGGGAUAGCCCGGCGAAAGCCGGAUUAAUACCGCAUACGAUCUACGGAUGAAAGCGGGGGACCUUCGGGCCUCGCGCUAUAGGGGCGGCCGAUGGCGGAUUAGCUAGUUGGUGGGGUAAAGGCCUACCAAGGCGACGAUCCGUAGCUGGUCUGAGAGGACGAUCAGCCACACUGGGACUGAGACACGGCCCAGACUCCUACGGGAGGCAGCAGUGGGGAAUUUUGGACAAUGGGGGAAACCCUGAUCCAGCAAUGCCGCGUGUGUGAAGAAGGCCUUCGGGUUGUAAAGCACUUUUGUCCGGAAAGAAAACGUUCUAGCUAAUAUCUGGAGCGGAUGACGGUACCGGAAGAAUAAGCACCGGCUAACUACGUG
RNAcentral lists this ribosomal RNA (448 nucleotides) under uncultured bacterium. RNAcentral's name for it is "bacterial SSU rRNA". It matches the Rfam family "Bacterial small subunit ribosomal RNA", at positions 64 to 507 of the family's 1533-position model. The record is from RNAcentral.